GGGACCAUAGUUCAAUGGCAGAAUAGCGGUCUCCAAAACCGUUGAUCGAGGUUCAAAUCCUCGUGGUCCCG
Molecule: transfer RNA, 71 nt
Filed under: Parcubacteria group bacterium
Lineage: Bacteria
Description: tRNA-Trp
Rfam family: tRNA
About the family: Transfer RNA (tRNA) molecules are approximately 80 nucleotides in length. Their secondary structure includes four short double-helical elements and three loops (D, anti-codon, and T loops).
Source: RNAcentral